UGGACAGAAAGACCCUAUGAAGCUUUACUGUAACUUGAAAUUGAAAUUGGACUUUAUUCGCGCAGCAUAGGUGGGAGGCGUUGAUUAUAAUCUUGCGGGAUUAUUGGAGCCAUCAGUGAGAUACCACCCUUGUAAUGUUAGAUUUCUAACUUUGAAUCAUUAUCUGGUCAAAGGACAGUUUCAGGCGGGCAGUUUGACUGGGGCGGUCGCCUCCUAAACGGUAACGGAGGCGUACAAAGGUUUCCUCUGAACGGUUAGAAAUCGUAUCUAGAGUGUAAAGGCAUAAGGAAGCUUGACUGUGAGACCUACAAGUCGAGCAGGGACGAAAGUCGGUCUUAGUGAUCUGACGGUACUGAGUGGAAAGGCCGUCACUCAACGGAUAAAAGUUACUCUAGGGAUAACAGGCU
This 407-nucleotide ribosomal RNA is filed under the name uncultured eukaryote. RNAcentral describes it as "bacterial LSU rRNA". It matches the Rfam family "Bacterial large subunit ribosomal RNA", at positions 2077 to 2483 of the family's 2925-position model. The record is from RNAcentral.